Molecule: ribosomal RNA, 428 nt
Filed under: uncultured Verrucomicrobiota bacterium
Lineage: Bacteria; Pseudomonadati; Verrucomicrobiota
Description: bacterial SSU rRNA
Rfam family: Bacterial small subunit ribosomal RNA
Source: RNAcentral
UCGAGAAUUUUUCACAAUGGGCGAAAGCCUGAUGGAGCGACGCCGCGUGGGGGAUGAAUGGCUUCGGCCCGUAAACCCCUGUCAUUCGCGAUCAACCCUUAUUAUUUAAAAGAUGAUGAGCUGAUAGUAGCGGAAGAGGAAGGGACGGCUAACUCUGUGCCAGCAGCCGCGGUAAUACAGAGGUCCCGAGCGUUGUUCGGAUUCACUGGGCGUAAAGGGUGCGUAGGUGGUGGGGUAAGUCGGAUGUGAAAUCUCCAAGCUCAACUUGGAAAUGGCAUUGGAAACUGCCCUGCUAGAGGAUCGGAGGGGGGACUGGAAUACUUGGUGUAGCAGUGAAAUGCGUAGAUAUCAAGUGGAACACCAGUGGCGAAGGCGAGUCCCUGGACGAUACCUGACACUGAGGCACGAAAGCUAGGGGAGCAAACAGG